This 544-nucleotide ribosomal RNA is filed under the name uncultured bacterium. RNAcentral's name for it is "bacterial SSU rRNA". It matches the Rfam family "Bacterial small subunit ribosomal RNA", at positions 774 to 1308 of the family's 1533-position model. The record is from RNAcentral.
AGCUAAUAGAUACCCCGGUAGUCCACGCCCUAAACGAUGUCUACUAGUUGUUGGUGGAGUAAAAUCCAUGAGUAAACGCAGCUAAACGCGUGAAGUAGACCGCCUGGGGAGUACGGUCGCAAGAUUAAAAACUCAAAGGAAUUGACGGGGGCCCGCACAAGCGGUGGAUUAUGUGGAUUAAAUUCGAUGCAACGCGAAAAACCCUUACCUGGCCUUGACAUGCCACUAACGAAGCAGAGAUGCAUUAGGUGCCCGUAAGGGAAAGUGGACACAGGUGCUGCAUGGCUGUCGUCAGCUCGUGUCGUGAGAUGUUGGGUUAAGUCCCGCAACGAGCGCAACCCUUGCCAUUAAUUGCCAUCAUUUAGUUGGGCACUUUAAUGGGACUGCCGGUGACAAACCGGAGGAAGGUGGGGAUGACGUCAAGUCCUCAUGGCCCUUAUGGCCAGGGCUUCACACGUAAUACAAUGGUCGGUACAGAGAGUUGCCAACCCGCGAGGGGUAGCUAAUCUCAGAAACGCCGAUCGUAGUCCGGAUUGUUCUCUGC